This 252-nucleotide ribosomal RNA is filed under the name uncultured bacterium. RNAcentral describes it as "partial 16S ribosomal RNA". It matches the Rfam family "Bacterial small subunit ribosomal RNA", at positions 524 to 776 of the family's 1533-position model. The record is from RNAcentral.
UACGUAGGGGGCAAGCGUUGUCCGGAAUUAUUGGGCGUAAAGCGCGCGCAGGCGGUCCUUUAAGUCUUGUGUUUAAUCCCGGGGCUCAACCCCGGUUCGCAUGGGAAACUGGAGGGCUGGAGUGCAGGAGAGGAAAGUGGAAUUCCACGUGUAGCAGUGAAAUGCGUAGAUAUGUGGAGGAACACCGAUGGCGAAGGCAGCCCCCUGGGUCAAGACUGACGCUCAUGCACGAAAGCGUGGGGAGCAAACAGG